AAUUCCUGAGCAAAACUUUCUGGAGUAGCUUUUCAACUUUAUAAAGGGAAAUUUCCACCGAAGGCGCAGAAAAAAAAAUGCUGGGACGUUAUCACCAAAAUUUUGUUCUGUCAUCCCUGUUUGGAUGCUUGGCUUGUCUUGUCGUGGCCUCUGUCGUUAGUGCAGACGGUCGGCUUUUCCUGUUGGACCUGAGGAACUCCUCUGACCUCCAGAGUUUCAGAGAUGCUGAGCGGGCUUGUGCCACCCAGCAUGCCCGCUUGGCAUCAGCAGAGGAGCUCCAUCAUGCUGUGGUAGAGUGCUCGUUCUCUGCAUGCACCCGUGGGUGGCUUUACGGGGGCACAGUGGGGACUACUGUGUGUAAUAUUGUGGGCAGCACACUGAAAGCUGUAGAUGUGAAAACAGAAAAUGCCACAGAGGACACCACGCACCUGGACGCCUUCUGUGUCAAAGACAAGGAUGUGCCUUGUGGCGACCCUCCAUCCUUUCCAAACACACGCCUCCAGGGGCACACAGGAUUUGAGAUGGGCGAUGAGCUGCUGUACACGUGUGUGCCAGGUUACGUCAUGCCCAGUGGGCACAAUGCCUUCAGCCUCCUGUGUGACAGCUGUGGAGAGUGGUAUGGACUAGUGCAGAUUUGUGUCAAAGAUGAGACUGAAGCUCAUGUAGACUAUGAGGACAAGUUCACAGAUGCCUACGGUGAGCCAGAGGACCACAACAAGAAGGGGAGACCAGAGGAGGCUCAUGGUGAGGUGUACGAGGAGGUGCAUGGAAUGGCACACACAGAGGAGAAGAGGGGUCAGGAGCAGGAGGACAACUACAGUGUAGAAGCAGGAGAAGAACAUCAGGACCAACAGGGAGAGGAGGAGGCAGGAGGAGAGGAGAUUUCUGUGGAUGAGGAAGAGGGUGGGAAAGUGGAGGGAGCUGUGAAAGAGGGGGAAGGGGAGGAGGAUCUGGCUGUUGAGGACUCUACAGCACAUCCAGGGUGGGAGCAGGAGAGGGAGGGGGUGACAAGAACAGAAGCACCCGUCUCACUGCUCUCCCAGAAACACCUCUUCUGGUUCCCUUCUGAAGCCUUCCAGGAUGAGGGACAUCCUGCCCCCACCGAUCCAAUCACACAGACCGCCUCUGAGGGUGAGAACCGAGUCAGAGCCUCAGGCGCCCAAUCAGAGGAGAGUAGAGAGUACGACAGCCAAGAAGCUCACUACCAGCAUCCUGUUGAUCCUGAUCACGAGCAGCACAGCUAUGGUGAUCAUGACAGCCACCAUGACGACCGGGAUGACCAUGACGACAGCCACCAUGAUGACCGAGAUGAUCAUUUGAAGCAUUACAUUCCAGCUCAACGCAACGACCUGGACAAGCACAGUCGCUAUGGAGAUCACGACGGCCAUAAUGACCACUAUGACAUGGGCGAACAUGAAGAUGAGCGGGAUCGCGUUCACUACGGCAGCCAGGGGGAAUAUGAUGAUCAAGAUGAGAGUUACAGUGAAGAUCAUGACCGUGGCAGCUAUACUGACCAUGACGAUGUGACUGAAGACCAUGAUGACACAGACAGAGAACAUCCAGACGGCUCAGAGGAACAUCCAGACCACGAUGACCAUGAUGAUGGUGAGAAACACUAUGGCCUGGGUGGAGAGGAAGACAGUAGAGACCGUUACGAUGAGUACGAUCACAGUGAUCAUGAACAUGAUGAUCACGACAGCUAUGAAAGCCAUCACAACCAUUAUGGCCAUGACGAUGAUAGUGAUGGUGACGGUCAUCAGCAUGUGGUCUUUUCUGUGGGCACAGAUGAACGACAGAAUUUCACCCUUGAGCGAGCAGGCGGAAAACCUACAGCCACUACAGAUGAGACCUGGUUGGACGGCUACCCUGUCAUUCCAGAAGAGGCGGAUAAAGGCGGCUCCACAGAAGAGGAGGGGGGACCAGAGGAUCAUGAGAGAGAAAUUAUUGUUGGGGUGACAGACAGACCGAAUGAUUUGGAAAUGAGUAGCUCCAUCCCUUACACCAGCUUCCCAGAGGCCACUGUGUCCGCCACCAUGGAGCCCAACUCUGAGCAGGACCGAGUUGAAGGUGUUUGGCCACACCUCCAUGCCUCUUCUCCCACCCCUGUCAGCACCGAGCCCUCAGACUCCCCCUCAUACCUCGACACCGAGGACUACGACACACAACAUGUAACUCCCACCAGUUCCUGGGUGGAGGAUGCUACCGAGCACCCCUUCCUUGAUCACGGCCCUGCCCCACCCAUGCACGAUGAUGACAUCAUCACUGGGACCAGAGGAAUGGAGGGGCACACUGAGCACAACCUGACUGGUCAGGUCGGGGAGAGGGGCGAGGUGGAGGGAGAGAUGGGUGAGACUAUGUGUAACGGUGAUGACUGCCCGCCCCAUCCUCCCACUUCCUCCAGCCGAGGUCCCACAGUGGCGGCCAUCAUUGUGGCGGUGUGUGCGGUUGCCACGGCAGUCAUCGUCGGGGCAUGGUGUUACCGGCGGCGACAGCAGAAGAGCUCUGUGUACGAGAUGAACGGGAAGGGCCAAAGUCAGAGCAGACAUGGCCAACAGAUAGAGAUGCAGCAGAAGGUGUAAGAGAGAGAUGGAGACAGAGGAAGAGGGAUGGACAGUGAAGGGCUGCAGAGACACUGGGGGGCGGAGGGAAGAACUGAUGCAAUGGAGCAUGGGGAAGGGAUUUGGAAAUGGGCCACAGAUUUGGAGGAUUUUGAAAGGAAAGUAUGGCCCCUCACCUUGUUAGACAUUACUGCAGAUCUCAAAGUUUUUGGAUAGGUAUAAAGUGAUGGGCUGUGCUACAAAGGAAGAACACAGGUGCUUAUUUACAUGCUGAGGGAGAUAUGUUAAAGCAUAAAUAAGAGUUCAGUCUUAACCAUUAGGUAAGGUAAGCAACUGCCUAGGGCCCCCCAAAAAACCACGGGCCCCAUAUAAUACAAACUGAAUUCAUGCCAAAAUGUUUUUUCACAUUUAUUAUAGUAAGCUCUAAUAACUUCAAACAAGCAAACCAACUUCAAUUGUAUUCUUGUUUGAAAUUGAACACCCCCUCUUCUCUUGCAAAUAUGGGCUUUUCCAUAUUUCAUAUUUCCCCUCUCUCACUGCGCAGAUACAAAUGAAAUGUGCUGGUAGCAGUGCAGAAAAAGUGCAGAACAGAAACAAAUGAAUUAGUCAGUUGAAGUUUAAUUACCAUAAUAAAUAUGAAAAUAUCUUAUUUGCCUGGAGCAGAAGAUGAUGUUUGGUGGCUUCCUCGGUGCCACACACUCCCACAGUACACUGAAACUGUGAAGGCAACAUUUUGUCCAGUGGCUGUGAUAAGGACAAAGGGUGUAAAGUGUGUGUGCAGAGGUGGGGGUGGGGGUGUGGGCAGGUCUUUGCCUAGGGCCCCAAAAUCACUAAAACCGCCCGUGGUAGUUGUGCUUCACCUACUUAUAGGUAAUAUGGAAUUUUCCCUAUCUCUGUUAUACCUAUCCAAUCAUUUUCAUAGCUCUCGUAUCGAGUUUGGGAGGUCGAGGGGUUGUUCCUGGACUCGACUCAGGCCAGGAGGCUAAAAAGGGAGACUGGUGGUCGGCUAACCACAGCAGAAGACAUACCCUCCUGAAAAUGAACUGAGACUUCAACCUCCAAAGCUCUUGGACAAUGUGGUACAGAUUCUUUUGUGUUACUUUGCUAUCAUUUUUGUUAUGCUGACUUCUGCCUGACUGCUCAGUUUAGUGUUGAUUUAGCUGUGUUGUUGUUCUCUAUCUCCGGACAGAGGACGUCUUUUCUGUUUUCGUUUCUGAAUAUUGUGUUUGUAAAAAAAAUAUAUAAUAAUAAUAAUUACUCUUCGUGUUACUCCAUAACAAGAGCCCAGAAGUUUAGAACACUUCAGAUCGUCGCAGCAAAUUUGGGAAGAUGGUCAGGAAUGAACAACCUGGAGGAAAAAAGAUAUUGACAAGGGAUAGGAGAGGUGCGAGAAAGAGGGAUGAUUGCUGGCGGGAGAAACAUUUUAAGACUUCCUGCCUCUAUUGGUUUUGACAUUCAGCCGGUGAGAGGUUUAGUGGGGGUGUCCAGACUGCAGACUCAGCCACUGUGUGUGUGUUUGUGUGUGAGAGAGAGAGAGUGUGCAUGUGUGUGUGUGUGUGUGUGUGUGUG
Myripristis murdjan (pinecone soldierfish) is the source of this 4127-nucleotide RNA transcript. It is a transcript of the gene named sushi domain containing 5, with no coding region annotated. The record is from RefSeq and is a predicted model, not a curated record. Lineage: Eukaryota; Metazoa; Chordata; Actinopteri; Holocentriformes; Holocentridae. The transcript is spliced from 6 exons.